UUUUUUAUUUCCGGAAAACUCUUAUUCUUUGGAGAGUUUCAUUUCCUUUUACUUCAAAAUUUCUGCUAGUUAAAACCGUUUCCACACCCAAAUAUAAUCGGAUUUCUAAAAUACCUGGAAACAUACUUGUGGAUUCUAAGUAAAGCCUUGGAUAUUAGUUCUUCUGCUCUUUUUCUUGAAAUUCUUCUUGAAAAUCACCCUCAUAUUUCUUGUCUAUUUUAAUGACAGUGCCUAUGAGUUGAUUGUUGACUUAGUUUCUUGCUAUGGCCGCAAGGUAAGGUAAAAAACAUAAACUAUGCAUGUAGUAUGUAAUGUAUCAACUUUGAUGGCUUUUCAUGCUGUCAUAAGUUUAAAGAAUCAGCUCUCUGGAGCUCUUGUGUUUUUUCUAGUAAAAAGUUUCAGCUCACUAGUUUCAGAUAAAAUUUCUCUUUGGAGGAAAACAUGGCACUAAAACGAACCUCUGCAGCUUCAAUUAGAUGUUCUAUGAUUCAACUGUUUUUCAGUUAUGUUUUUAUUAAUCGCAGGUGAGGCAGACAUGCUGAAAUUGUUCGAGACCUUGACCCCAAUACUGUCUAAUGCGGGGAAAGUGAAACAGUGCCUCACAGAUGCAUCAUCACCUGCGGCAUAUAUUCAAUUUGAAAACACCGACAGUAUGCAUAAAUUACUUAACGCACACAAUAAAGCUGUUAAUGUUGGUGAAAAGCCAGGGAUGCAGCUCAUUAAAAUAGAUCUACUUGGUGGAUCCUCGGGACAUUUCAGGAGCGAAUGUAGUGCUUUAAUGAGUAAUAAGCGAAAAUUCAUGGAAACGAUUACCUUGUCUGUCAAUUCAAUGGUAGCUGAGUCAAACUCUUCAACAGCCAAGUCCAGGCGAAUGGCGCUUGUAAGAAGAAGAAAAAAGCCAUCAAAAAGGAAUAUACCAAUUGUGAGGUUUUUUGACUUUGGAUCUCGAGUAUCGGGCCUUGCCUCUGUGAACAGCGAUUUUGACUUGUUUGUGGAUCUAACUGGACAGAUGUAUUGGGGCUCUGAUGGAUACUAUGACGAAAUAAAUUCUAAAAAAGAAACUUGUAAGCACAUUUUUGAAAUUAGAAAAUUCUGAAGAAUAAUCAAGAGUUUACCAACAUCAAAGCAAUUCCG
Molecule: long non-coding RNA, 1134 nt
Filed under: Bemisia tabaci
Lineage: Eukaryota; Metazoa; Arthropoda; Insecta; Hemiptera; Aleyrodidae
Description: lncRNA ENSSWEETPG006532
Source: RNAcentral